GUGUUGUACAUGUUUUUCUUUCUGCGUACCCUGAUGGAGCAGUUGCGACAAACCAUACCUCCUCGCCCAGACAUUUCCUUCUGAAAUACCUUAUCCAGUGUCCCUUAAUAUUUUUAAGACCUUAAGGCAUGAUUCGAACGAGAUUUCGGUUUUUUUUUCUAGCAAUUGUGGUGACCGCACUAAGACUCAAUCGCUGGCUGAAGUAUUUUAGGCUCUCCGUUUCCUGGUGCGGUGAAUAGAUUGUCACCUAAAUUACGUAAAAGUAAAAAUAACACCGACAUCUCAUUUCUACAGAUAUAUUUAUAAUAAAAUCGCCAUUGGCUUCAACCACGGCCUCCAGACGACUUUGGAAUUUCCUGCAACUCUUCUAUACUGUCUCAUUGUUUAAACUGUUCGAAUCCCGCCGAAGUCAACUUUACUGUUUAUUAUUUCGGAAUCGGUAAAUGAAAUAUCCAUCUCGCACUGUGUGUAUAUAAUCAAUUAACAAUCCGCCUGCCAAAUUUCCGGCGUUGUUUCAAUGUUAGAAAAUCACAGCAAAACAUCAACAACAAUAACAACCGCAUCAACAGUCGUAAUAAUAAUAAGAAGAAGAGCACUCAGAGAGCACAAAUCUCCUCCAA
Octopus bimaculoides (California two-spot octopus) is the source of this 620-nucleotide long non-coding RNA. The record is from RefSeq and is a predicted model, not a curated record. Lineage: Eukaryota; Metazoa; Mollusca; Cephalopoda; Octopoda; Octopodidae.